CCUACGGGUGGCAGCAGUGGGGAAUAUUGCACAAUGGGCGCAAGCCUGAUGCAGCCAUGCCGCGUGUGUGAAGAAGGCCUUCGGGUUGUAAAGCACUUUCAGCGGGGAGGAAGGCGGUGAGGUUAAUAACCUCAUCGAUUGACGUUACCCGCAGAAGAAGCACCGGCUAACUCCGUACCAGCAGCCACGGUAAUACGGAGGGUGCAAGCGUUAAUCGGAAUUACUGGGCGUAAAGCGCACGCAGGCGGUCUGUCAAGUCGGAUGUGAAAUCCCCGGGCUCAACCUGGGAACUGCAUUCGAAACUGGCAGGCUAGAGUCUUGUAGAGGGGGGUAGAAUUCCAGGUGUAGCGGUGAAAUGCGUAGAGAUCUGGAGGAAUACCGGUGGCGAAGGCGGCCCCCUGGACAAAGACUGACGCUCAGGUGCGAAAGCGUGGGGAGCAAACAGGAUUAGAUACCCUGGUAGUC
This 465-nucleotide ribosomal RNA is filed under the name uncultured Klebsiella sp. RNAcentral's name for it is "bacterial SSU rRNA". It matches the Rfam family "Bacterial small subunit ribosomal RNA", at positions 338 to 795 of the family's 1533-position model. Lineage: Bacteria; Pseudomonadati; Pseudomonadota; Gammaproteobacteria; Enterobacterales; Enterobacteriaceae. The record is from RNAcentral.